Molecule: long non-coding RNA, 1152 nt
Organism: Bos taurus (domestic cattle)
Lineage: Eukaryota; Metazoa; Chordata; Mammalia; Artiodactyla; Bovidae
Source: Ensembl
GCGUCUGCCCCACUGAGCGCCCUCCUCCCGCUCCUCCUCCCCACCUCCCCUCCCCAGCCAAGUACGGAAACCCGCCGGGGCUGGGCAGCCGUGGCUCCCGGCAACCCGCGCCCUCGCGGGGCUCCGCGCACUCAGUUCUAGUCCGACCCCAAUCCCUCAGUCCCAGCUCAGUGAAACUAACCCUGAAGCUGCCCGGAAGGGCAAGAGCGGAAGGCGCUGGGGACCGGCGGCCGGGCCCGGGGUUCCUGCCCCUGCCCUCUCCUGCUCCCCAACAGGUAGCUCACAAAUGGGCCGCGCGCUCUCGCUCUGCCUCCCUCGCUCUCUAGAACGCUCGCUCCGUCCCGGUUACCUGGGCGGGCUCCAGGAUGGUACCGCACGGGAGGGCUCCUUGUGCGCUGCGCCGCGGGAGUAAAUGGCAUUAAAGAAAAAAGGGAAAGAUACAAAUAAAAAAAAAAAAAAAUUAAGGAAGGGGAGUCGUUGCUGGGUCAAUUAGCUCAGCCCGGGGAGCAAGAGAGCAGAGCCCCCCAGCGCCGCGGCCGGCUAAGCCCGUUAACUCAAGUCUGCGGGGGUGUCCCGCCCCGAGCGGGGGAACGCUGACCCGCAGAAGUUUGCCGCCGGGGUGCCAGGAGGUGCGCGCAGAGCGGGGUGACUAGGGGCUUCCCCCUUGAAACAAGUGAAGGCGAUGGUUAGUGCUGUCAAUCUUGGCAAUCAGUGUGAGCGGCCAUGUCAGACCUUCAUGACUGGAAAAAUCUGCCUGGAGAGGCCAGAGCCUAGAAGCCAGUGAAAAGAAUGCCUGGCACCUUUCCUGCCAGCUCCUUCACACCUGGUCCCAAAACUCCCAAGAGUGCUCCUUGACCUCAGAGGCCCAACGGGUAAACCCAGACUGGUGUUUCUAUACUAGACAAGAGUCAAAUCUCUUCUGGCUUUUGAUUUUGUCUUUGUUUUAUUUUGUUUUUGUGAAUGACUGUGGCCUGGCCCAGCUGUCCUUCCAAAGCCUCUCUCUGGCCCUAGAACUCAACUACAGGAGCAAAAAAUCUCUGGAAAUCUUAUAAAGGGCAAAAUCGAAUGACCCCUCCUAAAUGCCUGCAGAGUUAAAGCAGAGAGAAGAGGAGAUAAUUUUAAGUCCCAAAGCCUAAAUUCUCAGGGUAGAGC